AAGAAAAGAAAAGAAAAAAAAAUUAAAACACAAAUCUUCUUCUUCAAAAAAACGUCACUCUCUCUCUCCCACACCAAAACCACCAUGAAAGCUCAUUUUUGAGCUUGAAGAACCAAAAUCCAACCAUGGCCAAUUGUCCUACCAUAACUAGAUGUUGUUUGGACAACUAGGAAAGAGGAUUCAAAGAAAAGAAAGAAGAAAAAUUUGAAGAAAAGGGAGAAGAAAUUCUGCACACAAGAUAAAAGCAAGGAGAAAGCAGCAGAGUGAGCUGCGGAAUUGACAAGAUCUUUUUGAUCCCUUUUUGUACGGGUAUUAUUUUAUACCCUUAUGGUUAUUUUGAUGUAAAUACUGUAAUGUCAUAAGUAUCAAUGUAAAUUGAGCAGUUGUAAAUAAACUAUAAUAAUAUUAUUUUAGAUUUUCUUCUGUAAAUUUAAUAUUUGUACAUAUGGAUUUUCUGCCUUAUGUUUUGUGAAUGGAAUUAUUGAACCUA
Molecule: long non-coding RNA, 490 nt
Organism: Hevea brasiliensis (rubber tree)
Lineage: Eukaryota; Viridiplantae; Streptophyta; Magnoliopsida; Malpighiales; Euphorbiaceae
Exons: 2
Source: RefSeq, a predicted model, not a curated record